UCCAAGAUGGCGGAAAUUAUUUUUUCUUAAGUCGAUAUGGGUGUCAUAUCCGAGGUUCCUCGGGAUUCCGAUUACGAAAAUGACGUCUAUUUUGAAAUCCAAGAUGGCGGACAUUAAUUUUUCUUAAAAAUCGAUAUGAGUGUCAUCUCCGAGGUUCCUCGGGAUUCCGAUUACGAAAAUGACGUUCAUUUUGAAAUUCAAGAUGGCGGACAUUAAUUUUUCUUAAAAAUCGAUAAGGGUGUCAUCUCCGAGGUUCCUCGGGGAUCCGAUUACGAAAAUGACGUUCAUUUUGAAAUCCAAGAUGGCGGAAAUUAUUUUUUUCUUAAGUCGAUAUGGGUGUCAUAUCCGAGGUUCCUCGGGAUUCCGAUUAUGAAAAUGACGUCUAUUUUGAAAUCCAGAUGGCGGACAUUAAUUUUUCUUAAAAAUCGACAUGAGUGUCAUCUCCGAGGUUCCUCGGGGUUCCGAUUACGAAAAUGACGUUCAUUUUGAAAUCCAAGAUGGCGGACAUUAAUUUUUCUUAAAAAUCGAUAUGGGUGUCAUCUCCGAGGUUCCUCGGGGAUCCGAUUACGAAAAUGACGUUCAUUUUGAAAUCCAAGAUGGCGGAAAUUAUUUUUUCUUAAAAGUCGAUAUGGGUGUCAUAUUCGAGGUUCCUCGGGAUUCCGAUUACGAAAAUGACGUCUAUUUUGAAAUCCAAGAUGGCGGACAUUAAUUUUUCUUAAAAAUCGAUAUGGGUGUCAUCUCCGAGGUUCUUCGAGGUUCCGAUUACGAAAAUGACGUCCAUUUUGCAAUCCAAGAUGGCGAACAUUAUUUUUUCUUAAAAAUCGAUAUGGGUGCCAUCUCCGAGGUUCCUCGGGGAUCCGAUUACGAAAAUGACGUUCAUUUUGAAAUCCAAGAUGGCGGAAAUUAUUUUUUCUUAAGUCGAUAUGGGUGUCAUAUCCGAGGUUCCUCGGGAUUCCGAUUACGAAAAUGACGUCUAUUUUGAAAUCCAAGAUGGCGGACAUUAAUUUUUCUUAAAAAUCGAUAUGAGUGUCAUCUCCGAGGUUCCUCGGGAUUCCGAUUACGAAAAUGACGUUCAUUUUGAAAUCCAAGAUGGCGGACAUUAAUUUUUCUUAAAAAUCGAUAAGGGUGUCAUCUCCGAGGUUCCUCGGGGAUCCGAUUACGAAAAUGACGUUCAUUUUGAAAUCCAAGAUGGCGGAAAUUAUUUUUUCUUAAGUCGAUAUGGGUGUCAUAUCCGAGGUUCCUCGGGAUUCCGAUUACGAAAAUGACGUCUAUUUUGAAAUCCAAGAUGGCGGACAUUAAUUUUUCUUAAAAAUCGACAUGAGUGUCAUCUCCGAGGUUCCUCGGGGUUCCGAUUACGAAAAUGACGUUCAUUUUGAAAUCCAAGAUGGCGGACAUUAAUUUUUCUUAAAAAUCGAUAUGGGUGUCAUCUCCGAGGUUCCUCGGGGUUCCAAUUACAAAAAUGACGUCAAUUUUGGCGGUUCUUGUUGGUGCAGAUUUCAAAAAUAGAGACCAUUUUAGAAUUAAAGGUGGUUGAUAUGACGGCUACACACAUCGACACCCAUUUCAAAAAGUAGCGUCCGCCAUAUUUAUUUUCAAAAUAGAUGUCAUUUUUGAAAUCCACACCCCUAAAAACCCAGAAAACAACACCCAUGACGACUUUUUCAAAAAAGUGACGUCCGCCAUCUUUAUUUCCAAAAUGGACGUCAUUUGUAAAAUUAGUACACAUACAUCAUACAACAUGAAAACUAAAAACAUUUCCAUCCUCUUUUGGGCAGUUGUGUAAGUCUGUGAUAACCCUAGGUAGGUACGGAGACCUUGAGCGGUGUCGGCAUUUACGCAAACAUCAAAGGCGUCGGCCCACUGUUACUUUUUACACUGUGCUUUUAGUGUGUAAACGAAAACGUCACAUGAUAUAUCAAAAGAAAAGUUAUUUUACAGUACAUAUGGGGCUACUUUAUAGCACUAGUGCGAGAAGUAGCAUAUUAUGUUACUGUGUCGAACAUUUAAAGGGCCAUAAGUACUGUAAAACGUUGUACGAUACAUGUGCGAAUAGGUAAUUCGCAACUCGUGUCGAUUUAAAACACUCCCUUCGGUCGUGUUUUAAUUUAUCGCCACUCGUUUCGAAUUUCCUAUUUUUCGCACUUGUAUCGUAAUGUACUAUUAUCUUAUACCUUUAAACGAGCAAUUCUUGUAAGUAUAUAUAUAAUAAUAUUUCUGUGAUCUCGGAAACGGCUCUAACGAUUUUGCUGAAAUUUGGUAUAUUAAUAAGCGGGUUAAGACGCGGACUGCUAAACGAGUGUUACGGGUUCGAAUCUCGCCCGGUGACUAACUUUUGUUUUUUUUAUAUGUUCAAGUUUAUAUAUAAUUUUUUAAUUUUUAUUGUUUUACACAAGUUUAAUUUAGUAAAAAAAAAUGACCUAUGUAAUAAGAGAAAUCGACAAUAGAUGGCGUUACUCUGUGACAAGUGCUGUAAGGUUAAAAUCGAUUGUAAAUAAUAAUAAUUGUCAGUUCACAUUUUACUUUUUAAGUUUAUGUA
This is a long non-coding RNA of Cydia pomonella (codling moth), 2536 nucleotides long. RefSeq lists it as uncharacterized. The record is from RefSeq and is a predicted model, not a curated record. The transcript has 2 exons. NCBI's taxonomy places the organism in Eukaryota, Metazoa, Arthropoda, Insecta, Lepidoptera, Tortricidae.